RNAcentral lists this transfer RNA (72 nucleotides) under Daejeonella rubra. Its description in RNAcentral is "Pedobacter sp. W1 tRNA". It matches the Rfam family "tRNA". Rfam says of the family: Transfer RNA (tRNA) molecules are approximately 80 nucleotides in length. Their secondary structure includes four short double-helical elements and three loops (D, anti-codon, and T loops). The record is from Rfam by way of RNAcentral. Lineage: Bacteria; Pseudomonadati; Bacteroidota; Sphingobacteriia; Sphingobacteriales; Sphingobacteriaceae.
GGUACCAUAGCUCAGUCGGUAGAGCAAAGGACUGAAAAUCCUUGUGUCGCUGGUUCGUCCCGAUAGCUAUCG